This 139-nucleotide unclassified non-coding RNA is filed under the name soil metagenome. RNAcentral describes it as "partial internal transcribed spacer 1". The record is from RNAcentral.
UAAUAAGUGUUUAUGGCACUUCAUAAAUCCAUAUCCACCUUGUGUGCAAUGUCAGCCGUUUUCUUUAUGAAAGCGGCCAAACAUCAACUUAUUUUUUAACUGUCUGUCUGAAAACUAUUAUGAAUAAACAAUUCAAAUA